GCCCCCAUAGGCUAACGGAUAGACUACUAGGUUGCGGUCCUGGAGAUCGGGGUUCAAUUCCUCGUGGGGGCG
This 72-nucleotide transfer RNA is filed under the name Candidatus Woesearchaeota archaeon. Its description in RNAcentral is "tRNA-Arg". It matches the Rfam family "tRNA". From Rfam's summary of the family: Transfer RNA (tRNA) molecules are approximately 80 nucleotides in length. Their secondary structure includes four short double-helical elements and three loops (D, anti-codon, and T loops). The record is from RNAcentral. Lineage: Archaea; Nanobdellati; Candidatus Woesearchaeota.